CGUCCGUCACACCAUGGGAGUGGGUUGCAAAAGAAGUAGGUAGCUUAACCUUCGGGAGGGCGCUUACCACUUUGUGAUUCAUGACUGGGGUGAAGUCGUAACAAGGUAACCGUAGGGGAACCUGCGGUUGGAUCACCUCCUUA
Molecule: ribosomal RNA, 143 nt
Filed under: Salmonella enterica
Lineage: Bacteria; Pseudomonadati; Pseudomonadota; Gammaproteobacteria; Enterobacterales; Enterobacteriaceae
Description: partial 16S ribosomal RNA
Rfam family: Bacterial small subunit ribosomal RNA
Source: RNAcentral